Molecule: long non-coding RNA, 352 nt
Filed under: Homo sapiens (human)
Lineage: Eukaryota; Metazoa; Chordata; Mammalia; Primates; Hominidae
Description: HSALNT0367423
Source: RNAcentral
CUUCACUCUACCAGAAACAACUGCUCACAGGACACAUCUGGCCCCCAUGUCUUUUUAAAUGAAAGGAAAUCAAGAUAAGGUGAAGAGGAGAUCAGUUGCCUCUGCAGAAGGUGUCUGAGAAGGAGAUGUUGAAGAAAUUCCACAGAUAUUUCCGUGGAAGUAUCAAGAAGACCUAGAGUAAGGCAUCAUCAAAUUGAUAGACUUGAACAAAAGGGAGGAGUGAGACAGACGGAUGGAUACAGAGCAUGGAGGGUGGUCAGGAAAGGCAGAGUCUGGAGAAUUUGAGCAGUGAUCUCAACAAAGAAAAGAAGAAAGUCAUAAGAUGAUAAGAACAGAGGAUUUUUUUGGCUAA